AAUCCAUAGGUUAAUGAGGCGAACCGGGGGAACUGAAACAUCUAAGUACCCCGAGGAAAAGAAAUCAACCGAGAUUCCCCCAGUAGCGGCGAGCGAACGGGGAGGAGCCCAGAGCCUGAAUCAGCAUGUGUGUUAGUGGAAGCGUCUGGAAAGGCGCGCGAUACAGGGUGACAGCCCCGUACACAAAAGCGCAUGUGCUGUGAGCUCGAUGAGUAGGGCGGGACACGUGGUAUCCUGUCUGAAUAUGGGGGGACCAUCCUCCAAGGCUAAAUACUCCUGACUGACCGAUAGUGAACCAGUACCGUGAGGGAAAGGCGAAAAGAACCCCGGCGAGGGGAGUGAAAAAGAACCUGAAACCGUGUACGUACAAGCAGUGGGAGCACCCUUCGGGGUGUGACUGCGUACCUUUUGUAUAAUGGGUCAGCGACUUAUAUUCUGUAGCAAGGUUAACCGAAUAGGGGAGCCGGAGGGAAACCGAGUCUUAAUUGGGCGUUAAGUUGCAGGGUAUAGACCCGAAACCCGGUGAUCUAGCCAUGGGCAGGUUGAAGGUUGGGUAACACUAACUGGAGGACCGAACCGACUAAUGUUGAAAAAUUAGCGGAUGACCUGUGGCUGGGGGUGAAAGGCCAAUCAAACCGGGAGAUAGCUGGUUCUCCCCGAAAGCUAUUUAGGUAGCGCCUCGUGAAUUCAUCUCCGGGGGUAGAGCACUGUUUCGGCUAGGGGGCCAUCCCGGCUUACCAACCCGAUGCAAACUGCGAAUACCGGAGAAUGUUAUCACGGGAGACACACGGCGGGUGCUAACGUCCGUCGUGAAGAGGGAAACAACCCAGACCGCCAGCUAAGGUCCCAAAGUCAUGGUUAAGUGGGAAACGAUGUGGGAAGGCCCAGACAGCCAGGAUGUUGGCUUAGAAGCAGCCAUCAUUUAAAGAAAGCGUAAUAGCUCACUGGUCGAGUCGGCCUGCGCGGAAGAUGUAACGGGGCUAAACCAUGCACCGAAGCUGCGGCAGCGAACGUAUCACCCAAGACAACUUUGCGGAGUUGACGAUUGACGGAGCGAAGCGACGUCAAAGCGUUCAUUAAAGUCGAGUUGGCUUAGGGAUACGUUCGUUGGGUAGGGGAGCGUUCUGUAAGCC
Molecule: ribosomal RNA, 1133 nt
Filed under: Salmonella enterica subsp. enterica serovar Indiana
Lineage: Bacteria; Pseudomonadati; Pseudomonadota; Gammaproteobacteria; Enterobacterales; Enterobacteriaceae
Description: partial 23S ribosomal RNA
Rfam family: Bacterial large subunit ribosomal RNA
Source: RNAcentral